This 146-nucleotide ribosomal RNA is filed under the name Mycosphaerellaceae sp. Its description in RNAcentral is "partial large subunit ribosomal RNA". It matches the Rfam family "Eukaryotic large subunit ribosomal RNA", at positions 99 to 247 of the family's 3401-position model. Lineage: Eukaryota; Fungi; Ascomycota; Dothideomycetes; Mycosphaerellales; Mycosphaerellaceae. The record is from RNAcentral.
CGGCAACAGCUCAAAUUUGAAAUCUGGCGCAAGCCCGAGUUGUAAUUUGCAGAGGAUGCUUUGGGGUCGUCCCUGGUCUAAGUUCCUUGGAACAGGACGUCGCAGAGGGUGAGAAUCCCGUACGCGGCCGGGCGCCGUCCCCGUGU